AGAAGGAGAGGGAAGCAGGCUCUCUGCCGAGCAGAGAGCCCGAUGCGGGACUCGAUCCCAGGACCCUGAGAUCAUGACCUGAGCCGAAGGCAGCGGCUUAACCCACUGAGCCACCCAGGCGCCCCGGAGUAAGCAGUGUUAUUGUCCUAUUUGCAGGUGAGGGAGCUGAGGCCCCAAUCAGUUAAAUUAUCCCAGGUCACCAGCUGGGAAGUGCUGGGGCCAGAAUUUGAAUCCAGGAACCUUCAUCACUACGCGUCUACCUCCGGAGGGCUUUACAGUUUACAAAGCACCGUGGGGUACACAGAUGGUCUCCAGCCUCUCGGCGAAACUGCAUGUGUCUCCUGUAAUCGACGAUCCUGGGAGAUGGGUGCUGGGUCUUAUGUUCUGAUUCUUCGAAGACAGUUAAUACAUGCACACGGUCAGAUGAAAGGGUGCACGGUCAGAACAUGUCUGUCUUCUGGUAAGCCCCUGCUCCCCAGGGGCACCAGGGUUCUCGCUCCUUGUGGAUCUUUCCAGAGACAUUCUAUCUUUCUAUCUGCCUGGGUUUCUGUGCCCUAAAAUCCCCCUUCUUAAAAACAAAACAAAACAAAACCAGCCAAGUGGUUGAAUCUUAGGUGUACUGAGUCUGUCCCCUUUCUCGACAGCAGGAGGAACUCACGCGGGCUGUCGGGGCCAAAGUCCGUCCCAUUCAGAGUCUCUGCGUCUCAACAGACCCGAUGGCGAUACCCAGAUACCACCUGUGUACCAAAGGUUACGCUGGGACCCGUCACCGCCCUUUCCAAGGAAACAGCUGAGGAUUAUUGCUGCUUGCUUGGUUGGCUCUGUUGUUUUGUUUUGAUACUCUCGGCCAGAUCACCCGGAAUUCAGAAUGACCUUGACUCACCUGUAAAUCCCCGGGUCUUUAUCCCCGGGAACAGAUGCCACGCCGGCUUUGUGAUGACUUGCUCUUCUGCGAUGAGCAGUGUGAACCUACAUGCCCGACUUCAUGUGUCUCAGUUCAGUUUCAUGUCACUGCUCCCUCUGGGCAGUUAAAACCCUGAUUCUAAGAAAAAAAUUUAAAAAUUAAAGAAAAAUAAAACCCCGAUUCUGUUUCUGCUGCGUUGGUUCCUUUCAUGGCAUGCAUUAUCCCUCACGUUCCGUCCUGGGAGCUAGAUUCUUGCUACCUUUGUUGCUGUGGCUUUAGGAGAGCAACCAACUUUAAAAAUGAG
This 1208-nucleotide long non-coding RNA is filed under the name Mustela putorius furo (domestic ferret). RNAcentral describes it as "lncRNA (ENSMPUG00000024541.1)". Lineage: Eukaryota; Metazoa; Chordata; Mammalia; Carnivora; Mustelidae. The record is from RNAcentral.